UGAAGGUCCUUGCACAAUGUCGACGGCUUCAAUAAACGGCUGGUGCAUAACCUCCCUCUCUCCAUCAUCCCAUUCUUCUCUCAACAACAAUAAUAUUAAGAAAAUAAUAUCACAUAACACAUUACGUCGUCCCUCCAUUGUAGCCAGGCUUUCCUCUCCUCCUCCCUCCCUCAUUCAAAACAAGCCUGUUUUUGCUGCUCCUGCUCCCAUCAUCAACCCUCCUUUGAGAGAAGACAUGGCGAAGGAUUACGAUGAGGCCAUUGAAGCUCUCAAGAAACUUCUCAGCGAGAAGGGAGAGCUGAAAGCAGCUGCAGCUGCCAAAGUAGAGCAGAUAACAGCACAACUACAAACAGCCACAACUGAUGGAAAGGUGUUUGACCCGGUUCAGAGGAUCAAAGAAGGCUUUAUUCACUUCAAGAAGGAGAAAUAUGAAAAGAAUCCAGCUUUGUAUGGUGAACUCGCCAAGGGCCAAAGCCCCAAGUUUAUGUUGUUUGCGUGCUCCGAUUCUCGGGUUUGCCCAUCUCAUGUGCUAGAUAUGCAGCCAGGAGAGGCUUUUGUGGUCAGGAAUGUUGCAAAUAUGGUCCCAGCAUAUGACAAGAUCAAACACACUGGGGUUGGGUCUGCCAUUGAAUAUGCGGUUUUGCAUCUCAAGGUGGCGUACAUUGUGGUUAUUGGACACAGCGCCUGCGGUGGGAUCAAGGGGCUCAUGUCUUUCCAAUGUGAUGGAUCCUCCAAUACCGACUUCAUUGAAGAUUGGGUGAAAACCUGUUUACCAGCCAAGAAAAAGUUGUUAGAGGCAAAUGGAAAUGUACCUGCAGAACAACUAUGUGCAAAAUGUGAAAAGGAGGCAGUAAAUGUAUCCCUUGCAAACUUGCUUACUUAUCCAUUUGUGAGAGAUGGUUUGCUGAAGAAAACGCUGGCUUUGAAGGGUGGUUACUAUGAUUUUAUCAAUGGAACUUUUGAGCUCUGGGGUCUUGAGUUUGGUCUUGCUCCCCCGCUCUCUGUAUGAACAUCUACCAUAACUGGUGACCACAUCUUUUCUGCGUAACUAUUUUCUUCCCCCAUCUUGUGAAAGAUGUGGCUACAAUACUGCAUUGGAAGCUCUAGACCUGCUUAGAGGGUCAUCCUUCAUAGAUGAGGCUCUCUCUACUUCAUUGUAUAUGAUAAUAUGAUGUUGGUUCUGUAGAAAGUUACCUUAUUAAAAUUGGGAUUCCUGAAACUGACCUGUUGCUGCUUAACCAAGUUCUUCCAUAUCUUUCUAUCUUCAA
RNA transcript from Tripterygium wilfordii, 1268 nucleotides. It is a transcript of the gene named carbonic anhydrase 2-like, with no coding region annotated. NCBI's taxonomy places the organism in Eukaryota, Viridiplantae, Streptophyta, Magnoliopsida, Celastrales, Celastraceae. The record is from RefSeq and is a predicted model, not a curated record. The transcript has 10 exons.